Molecule: transfer RNA, 72 nt
Filed under: Pterolebias phasianus
Lineage: Eukaryota; Metazoa; Chordata; Actinopteri; Cyprinodontiformes; Rivulidae
Description: tRNA-Asn
Rfam family: tRNA
About the family: Transfer RNA (tRNA) molecules are approximately 80 nucleotides in length. Their secondary structure includes four short double-helical elements and three loops (D, anti-codon, and T loops). Further hydrogen bonds mediate the characteristic L-shaped molecular structure. tRNAs have two regions of fundamental functional importance: the anti-codon, which is responsible for specific mRNA codon recognition, and the 3' end, to which the tRNAs corresponding amino acid is attached (by aminoacyl-tRNA synthetases). tRNAs cope with the degeneracy of the genetic code in two manners: having more than one tRNA (with a specific anti-codon) for a particular amino acid; and 'wobble' base-pairing, i.e. permitting non-standard base-pairing at the 3rd anti-codon position.
Source: RNAcentral
UAGACAGAUGCUAAUUGUUUAAGUGUUUAAUUGUUAAUUAAAAGUUUGUAGGAUCAAAACCUUCCUGUCUAG